GCAUUUAUUUAGAAAUUAUAAUAGUUUAUACUAUAUUUCCAAUCAUGCCAUAUAAGUGCUGUGUUGAUGGAUGCCGUAGCAAGGACGGGGUUGUUGGUUCAACUACGAAAUUAUUUAGAUGACGUGGUUACAACAACGACUUUUCUCACUGCACAAUCCGUACGAUUGGAUAAAGCCAUUGAAAUGAUCGGUUUCGGAAAAUUUCAUUAUUAUAUGUUAUUUAUUUGUGGAACAGUUUACAUAGCCGUCAGUAUAAGUUUGACUUCGGUAUCAUUCAUUGUACCGUCAGCACAAUGCGAUUUUCAAAUGACUUCUUUUCGGAAAGGAUUCCUCAACGGAGCUUCGAUGAUCGGAAUGUGCAUUGGAAGUUUCAUUUGGGGCUACAUAUCGGACUCCUACGGUAGAAGAAAGGCAUUGAUAUUCUGCAUGCUGAUGGAUGGUUUAUUCAAUCUCGUAUCUAGUGUAUCCCAGAUUUAUUCAGUUUUUAUAUUUUGCAGAAUGAUGAGUGGAUUCGGAGUGUCUGGUUGUACAAUAACUUAUGCGUACCUUGGAGAAUUUUUAAACGCCAAAUAUCGCGAAAAGUUUUUAUGUUGGAUGGAGAUUUUCUGGACGAUUGGCGUAAUACUACUUCCGUGUAUAGCGUGGAUAAUUAUACCGCAAACAUUUCGAAUCGAAAGUGGAUUCUUUUUGUUCAGGUCGUGGAAUUUAUUUGUAAUUAUUUGUUCUCUUCCGAGUAUAAUAACGACGUGCUUAUUGAUGUUAUUACCAGAAAGUCCAAAAUACCUACUCGUUAAGGGCAAACACGAAGAAACCCUUGAUUGCUUGAGAUUCGUCCAUAGGUGGAAUAAUAAAAAGACCGACCAGAGUUUCCCUGUGAUUUCGUUGACGUUGCCGGAUCGCAUUAGCGAAACGAGCAAAGGUUUCUUUAGCGGGAUGGGCAAGAGCCUUUUCGAAUUGAUCACGUCGAAGUACAAAACCGUGCUCGCGAUUACAUGUAUCAUGCAGUUCUGCGUGACCGCCAGAGUUGAUGAACAGGUUGCGAUGGUACGAGACAACGUACCCGAGUGCCCAGAACAAGACGACCAUGUGCGAAGUGUUGUCCAUGUACAAAGUCGAACCGAACGCGUUGGCCGACGUCAGGUGCAACGACGACAUCGACGGGUCCGUGUACUUGAACAUCCUGAUCGUGGGCGUCGCUUGCCUGCCUCUUUGUUUCAUCGUGCCGCUGUACGUCAACAAACUCGGGCUCAGGUUUUUCUUGGCAACGUGUCUGUUUGGGUCCGGCUUGACUGCUGUUUGCUUGUACUACAUCUCGUCGUCGAUGGAAAUCCUCGCGUUCGCUUCCGUGUUUGAAGCUCUUAGCAGCACAGGUUUCGGACUGAUAUUUUGCGUCGCCGUGGAACUAUUUCCCGUAGAAUACACGGGCUUGGCUGUAGCGAUAGGCUCCACGUUCGGUAAAAUCGGUUCAAUUGUGGGCAACGUCGUCGUCGGAAUUUUCAUCGACGCGUAUUGUAU
RNAcentral lists this unclassified non-coding RNA (1515 nucleotides) under Sipha flava (yellow sugarcane aphid). RNAcentral's name for it is "synaptic vesicle glycoprotein 2C-like, transcript variant X4". The record is from RNAcentral. Lineage: Eukaryota; Metazoa; Arthropoda; Insecta; Hemiptera; Aphididae.